Molecule: ribosomal RNA, 275 nt
Filed under: Fromia monilis
Lineage: Eukaryota; Metazoa; Echinodermata; Asteroidea; Valvatida; Ophidiasteridae
Description: partial 12S ribosomal RNA
Source: RNAcentral
CCGAUAACCCACGAAAAAACUCUCCACCUUUUGAAAAUUCAGCAUGUAUACCAUCGUCAUAAGUUUACCUCUUAAGAGAAGUAUACUCAAAGAAUUACACCCCUUAUGUCAGAUCGAGGUGCAGCAAAUAAGGUGGGGGUUGGUGAACUACAAUAUUUCCUUAAAUCAUUUCAAACCCAAUUAUGAAUAUCACAUGUGAAACCAUUGAUUGAAAUGGGAUUUAGUAGUAAUACUCAAAAUAAAUUGAGUAUGAAACCAAAAGCUCUAAAAUACGC